This 440-nucleotide ribosomal RNA is filed under the name uncultured bacterium. RNAcentral describes it as "partial 16S ribosomal RNA". It matches the Rfam family "Bacterial small subunit ribosomal RNA", at positions 338 to 795 of the family's 1533-position model. The record is from RNAcentral.
CCUACGGGAGGCUGCAGUGGGGGAUAUUGCACAAUGGGGGAAACCCUGAUGCAGCGACGCCGCGUGUGGGAAGACGGUCCUCUGGAUUGUAAACCACUGUCCCCAGGGUCGAAGAUGACGGUACCUGGGGAGGAAGCUCCGGCAAACUACGUGCCAGCAGCCGCGGCAAUACGUAGGGAGCAAGCGUUGUCCGGAAAUACUGGGGGUAAGGGGAGCGUAGGCGGGAUGGCAAGUUGGGUGUUAAAUCUACCGGCUAAACUGGUAGUCGCACUCAAAACUGGUAUUCUUGAGUGAAGUAGAGGCAGGCAGAAUUCCUAGUGUAGCGGUGAAAUGCGUAGAUAUUAGGAGGAACACCGGUGGCGAAGGCAGCCUGCUGGGCUUUUACUGACGCUGAGGCUCGAAAGUGUGGGGAGCAAACAGGAUUAGAUACCCUUGUAGUC